Molecule: ribosomal RNA, 618 nt
Filed under: Pseudomonas sp. TomH12
Lineage: Bacteria; Pseudomonadati; Pseudomonadota; Gammaproteobacteria; Pseudomonadales; Pseudomonadaceae
Description: partial 16S ribosomal RNA
Rfam family: Bacterial small subunit ribosomal RNA
Source: RNAcentral
CUGGUAGUGGGGGAUAACGUNCGGAANNGGGCGCUAAUACCGCAUACGUCCUNNNGGAGAAAGUGGGGGAUCUUCGGACCUCACGCUAUCAGAUGAGCCUAGGUCGGAUUAGCUAGUUGGUGGGGUAAAGGCNUACCAAGGCGACGAUCCGUAACUGGUCUGAGAGGAUGAUCAGUCACACUGGAACUGAGACACGGUCCAGACUCCUACGGGAGGCAGCAGUGGGGAAUAUUGGACAAUGGGCGAAAGCCUGAUCCAGCCAUGCCGCGUGUGUGAAGAAGGUCUUCGGAUUGUAAAGCACUUUAAGUUGGGAGGAAGGGCAGUAAGUUAAUACCUUGCUGUUUUGACGUUACCNACAGAAUAAGCACCGGCUAACUNNNUGCCAGCAGCCGCGGUAAUACNAAGGGUGCAAGCGUUAAUCGGAAUUACUNNNGUAAAGCGCGCGUAGGUGGUUCANCAAGUUGGAUGUGAAAUCCCCGGGCUCAACCUGGGAACUGCAUCCAAAACUANNGAGCUAGAGUNNGGUAGAGGGUGGUGGAAUUUCCUGUGUAGCGGUGAAAUGCGUAGAUAUAGGNNNGAACACCAGUGGCNAAGGCNACCACCUGGNCUGAUNCUGAC